GAAGCAGUUGAGAUAAUCAAAUUAUCUGCAACAAUGCAAACAAAGAAAUAAGAACCUUGAUGAAGAAAGAGCUAGGAUUUGCUCAAAGGAUUUGGAAAGAAGGGUAGAUCCGAUAGUAUGCAAAAUCAGCUCAUCUUAUAAUCUGUGCUAAUGAGAUUUACCAUAAUAGUCCACAUCAAGUUAUGCCAUGCCAUACCGAACCAAGCAGUAUGUAGCAUACGUUACCAUACCGGUUUAGUACUAGUACACACUACGCCGCGCGUGCGUGCGGGGGGUGGGGGAGAGGGGGGCACUCA
RNAcentral lists this long non-coding RNA (296 nucleotides) under Phoenix dactylifera (date palm). RNAcentral's name for it is "long non-coding RNA (PDAC_LNC003132)". Lineage: Eukaryota; Viridiplantae; Streptophyta; Magnoliopsida; Arecales; Arecaceae. The record is from RNAcentral.